AGUUUGAUCCUGGCUCAGAUUGAACGCUGGCGGAAUGCUUUACACAUGCAAGUCGAACGGCAGCACGGACUUCGGUCUGGUGGCGAGUGGCGAACGGGUGAGUAAUAUAUCGGAACGUGCCCAGUCGUGGGGGAUAACGUAGUGAAAAUUACGCUAAUACCGCAUACGAUCUAAGGAUGAAAGCGGGGGAUCGCAAGACCUCGCGCGAUUGGAGCGGCCGAUAUCAGAUUAGGUAGUUGGUGAGGUAAAGGCUCACCAAGCCAACGAUCUGUAGCUGGUCUGAGAGGACGACCAGCCACACUGGAACUGAGACACGGUCCAGACUCCUACGGGAGGCAGCAGUGGGGAAUUUUGGACAAUGGACGCAAGUCUGAUCCAGCCAUUCCGCGUGCAGGACGAAGGCCUUCGGGUUGUAAACUGCUUUUGUACAGAACGAAAAGGUCUCUAUUAAUACUAGGGGCUCAUGACGGUACUGUAAGAAUAAGCACCGGCUAACUACGUGCCAGCAGCCGCGGUAAUACGUAGGGUGCAAGCGUUAAUCGGAAUUACUGGGCACAAGCGGUGGAUGAUGUGGUUUAAUUCGAUGCAACGCGAAAAACCUUACCCACCUUUGACAUGUAUGGAAGCCUUUAGAGAUAGAGGCGUGCUCGAAAGAGAGCCAUAACACAGGUGCUGCAUGGCUGUCGUCAGCUCGUGUCGUGAGAUGUUGGGUUAAGUCCCGCAACGAGCGCAACCCUUGUCAUUAGUUGCUACAUUUAGUUGGGCACUCUAAUGAGACUGCCGGUGACAAACCGGAGGAAGGUGGGGAUGACGUCAAGUCCUCAUGGCCCUUAUAGGUGGGGCUACACACGUCAUACAAUGGCUGGUACAAAGGGUUGCCAACCCGCGAGGGGGAGCUAAUCCCGUAAAACCAGUCGUAGUCCGGAUCGCAGUCUGCAACUCGACUGCGUGAAGUCGGAAUCGCUAGUAAUCGUGGAUCAGAAUGUCACGGUGAAUACGUUCCCGGGUCUUGUACACACCGCCCGUCACACCAUGGGAGCGGGUUCUGCCAGAAGUAGUUAGCCUAACCGUAAGGAGGGCGAUUACCACGGCAGGGUUCGUGACUGGGGUGAAGUCGUAACAAGGUAGC
RNAcentral lists this ribosomal RNA (1129 nucleotides) under uncultured beta proteobacterium. Its description in RNAcentral is "bacterial SSU rRNA". It matches the Rfam family "Bacterial small subunit ribosomal RNA". The record is from RNAcentral. Lineage: Bacteria; Pseudomonadati; Pseudomonadota; Betaproteobacteria.